CAAUAGCGUAUAUUAAAGUUGUUGCAGUUAAAAAGCUCGUAGUUGGAUUUGUGGUGUGUCCAGUCGGCCUUUGCUCUCUGAGUGAUUGUGCUGUACUGGUCUGCCAUGUUUGGGUGGAAUCUGUGUGGCAUUAAGUUGUCGUGCAGGGGAUGCCCAUCGUUUACUGUGAAAAAAUUAGAGUGUUCAAAGCAGGCUUAUGCCGUUGAAUAUAUUAGCAUGGAAUAAUGAUAUAGGACCUUGGUACUAUUUUGUUGGUUUGCGCACUAAGGUAAUGAUUAAGAGGGACAGUUGGGGGUAUUUGUAUUCCAUUGUCAGAGGUGAAAUUCUUAGAUCUUUGAAAGACAAACUACUGCGAAAGCAUUUACCAAGGAUGUUUNCAUUA
RNAcentral lists this ribosomal RNA (382 nucleotides) under uncultured eukaryote. RNAcentral describes it as "partial 18S ribosomal RNA". It matches the Rfam family "Eukaryotic small subunit ribosomal RNA", at positions 592 to 975 of the family's 1831-position model. The record is from RNAcentral.